UACGAACGGUGCAAGCGUUACUCGGAAUCACUGGGCGUAAAGCGCACGUAGGCGGACUUACAGGUCAAUUGUGAAAUACCUGAGCUCAACUCAGGAACUGCAGUUGAAACCGUUUGUCUUGAAUACCUGAGAGGGUGGGGGAAUACCUGGUGGAGAAGUGAAAUUCGUAGAGAUCAGGUGGAACACCGGAGGCGAAGGCGCCUGCCUGGCAGUGUAUUGACGCUGAGGUGCGAAAGCCAGGGGAGCGAACGGG
Molecule: ribosomal RNA, 253 nt
Filed under: uncultured bacterium
Lineage: Bacteria
Description: partial 16S ribosomal RNA
Rfam family: Bacterial small subunit ribosomal RNA
Source: RNAcentral